GGGGUCUGGGGGCACCCAUGGGUGCUCCAAUGGGAUGAAUGAGGUCUGGGGGCACCCAUGGGUGCUCAUGUGCAAUAAAUGGGGUCUGGGGGCACCCAUGGGUGCUCCUAUGGGAUAAAUGGGAUCUGGGGGCACCCAUGGGUGCUCAUGUGCAAUAAAUGGGGUCUGGGGGCACCCAUGGAUGCUGCUAUGGGAUAAAUGGGGUCUGGGGGCACCUAUGGGUGCUCCUAUGGGAUGAAUGGGGUCUGGGGGCACCCAUGGGUGCUCAUGUGCAAUAACUGGGGUUUGGGGGCACCCAUGGGUGCUCCUAUGGGAUAAAUGGGGUCUGGGGUCACGCAUGGGUGCUGCUAUGGGAUGAAUGGGGUCUGGGGGCACCCAUGGGUUCUCUAAUGGGGUGAGUGGGGUCUGCAGCACUCAUGGGUGCCCCUAUGGGAUGAAUGGGGUCUGGGGGCACCCAUGGGUGCUCCUAUGGGAUGAAUGGGGUCUGCAGCACCCAUGGGUGCAGCUAUGGGAUGAGUGGGGUCUGGGGGCACCCGUGGGUGGUCCUGUGCAAUAAAUGGGGUCUGGGGGCACCCAUGGGUGCUCCAAUGGGAUAAAUGGGGUCAGGGGGCACCCAUGGGUGCUCAUGUGCAAUAAAUGGGGUCUGCUGCACCUAUGGGUGCUUCAGUGGGAUGAAUGGGGUCUGCAGGCACCCAUGGGUGCCCCUAUAGGAUGAAUGGGGUCUGGGGGCACCCAUGAGUGCUCAUGUGCAAUAAAUGGGGCCUGGGGGCACCCAUUGGUGCUGCUAUGGGAUGAAUAGGAUCUGGGUGCACCCAUGGGUGCUCCAAUGGGAUGAGUGGGGUCUGCAGCACCCAUGGGUGCCCCUAUGGGAUAAAUGGGAUCUGGGGGCACCCAUGGGUGCUCCAAUGGGUUAAAUGGGGUCUGGGGGCACCCAUGGGUGCUCCAAUGGGUUAAAUGGGGUCUGGGGCCACCCAUGGGUGCUCCUAUGGGUUGAGUGGGGUCUGCAGCACCCCUGGGUGCUCCAAUGGGAUAAAUGGGGUCUGGGGGCACCCAUGGGUGGUCCUGUGCAAUAAAUGGGGCCUGGGGGCACCCAUGGGUGCUGCUAUGGGAUGAUUGGGAUCUGCAGCACCCAUGGGUGCUCCAAUGGGAUAAAUGGGACCUGGGGGCACCCAUGGGUGCCCCUAUGGGAUGAAUGGGGUCUGGGGGCACCCAUGGGUGCUCGUGUGCAAUAAAUGGGAUCUGGGGUCACCCAUGGGUGCCCCUAUGGGAUGAAUGGGGUCUGGGGGCACCCAUGGGUGCUCAUGUGCAAUAAAUGGGGUCUGGGGGCACCCAUGGGUGCUCCAAUGGGAUGAGUGGGGUCUGCAGCACCCAUGGGUGCCCCUAUGGGAUAAAUGGGGUCUGCAGCACCCAUGGGUGCUCAUGUGCAAUAAAUGGGGCCUGGGGGCACCCAUGGGUGCUCCAAUUGGUUGAGUCCGGUCUGCAGCACCCAUGGGUGCUCCAAUGGGUUAAAUGGGAUCUGGGGGCACCCAUGGGUGCCCUUAUGGGAUAAAUGGGAUCUGGGGGCACCCAUGGGUGCUCCAAUGGGUUAAAUGGGAUCUGGGGGCACCCAUGGGUGCUGCUAUGGGUUGAAUGGGGUCUGGGGGCACCCAUGGGUGCUCAUGUGCAGUAAAUGGGAUCUGGGGGCACCCAUGGGUGCUCAUGUGCAAUAAAUGGGGUCUGGGGAAACCCAUGGGUGCUGCUAUGGGAUGAAUGGGAUCUGGGGGCACCCAUGGGUGCUCCAAUGGGAUGAGUGGGGUCUGCAGCACCCAUGGGUGCCCCUAUGGGAUGAAUGGGGUCUGGGGGCACCCAUGGGUGCUCCAAUGGGAUAAAUGGGGUCUGCAGCACCCCUGGGUGCUCCAAUGGGAUGAGUGGGGUCUGGGGGCACCCAUGGGUGCUCAUGUGCAAUAAAUGGGGUCUGCAGCACCCCUGGGUGCCCCUAUGUUGGAUGCGGGGUCCCCCGGGUGUCAUUUUUUGAGCCAAAUCCGUCCGAUUCCGCAUCUGCGACCGUCUUAAUCUUCAUCAGUUAUUAAUUAGCAUUAAUUAUUAGUUACGGGUUAUUCAUUGUUUAUUUCUGCAUGGGCGCCGCCCCCCGUUUUUUUGGGGGGGGUAAAAAAAAGGGAAAAAAAGGCCGUUUUUGGGGUUCCCUCCUCCGCUUCUGCACGGAAAUUUGGGGCAUAAAAGCCUUUCAGAUUGGGGGGUUUUGGGGU
Gallus gallus (chicken) is the source of this 2246-nucleotide long non-coding RNA. RefSeq lists it as uncharacterized. The record is from RefSeq and is a predicted model, not a curated record. The transcript is spliced from 2 exons. NCBI's taxonomy places the organism in Eukaryota, Metazoa, Chordata, Aves, Galliformes, Phasianidae.